GCCCCAGGAGGAAGGGGGGACUGUUAGCAGCAUAGGAUUGAGGAGUUGGAAGAGACCUUUAGAACAGCUGGUCAUUAUGCCGACCGGGUGCCUGCACUAAGUUCGGCAUCAGUGUGUUGACCUCCUGUGAGCAGGGGGCCACCAAGUUGCCUAAGGAUGGCUGAACUGGCCCAGGUCAGAAAGAGAGCAGGUCAGAACUCCCA
RNAcentral lists this small RNA (203 nucleotides) under Pongo abelii (Sumatran orangutan). The record is from RNAcentral. Lineage: Eukaryota; Metazoa; Chordata; Mammalia; Primates; Hominidae.